GCCGGAGUGGCGGAACUGGCAGACGCACAGGACUUAAAAUCCUGGGGUCUGAAGAAGACCGUGCCGGUUCGAGUCCGGCCUCCGGCACCA
RNAcentral lists this transfer RNA (90 nucleotides) under Caldicoprobacter guelmensis. Its description in RNAcentral is "tRNA-Leu". It matches the Rfam family "tRNA". From Rfam's summary of the family: Transfer RNA (tRNA) molecules are approximately 80 nucleotides in length. Their secondary structure includes four short double-helical elements and three loops (D, anti-codon, and T loops). The record is from RNAcentral. Lineage: Bacteria; Bacillati; Bacillota; Clostridia; Caldicoprobacterales; Caldicoprobacteraceae. RNAcentral also lists the same sequence under 1 other name.